Long non-coding RNA from Alosa alosa (allis shad), 432 nucleotides. RefSeq lists it as uncharacterized. The transcript has 4 exons. The record is from RefSeq and is a predicted model, not a curated record. Lineage: Eukaryota; Metazoa; Chordata; Actinopteri; Clupeiformes; Clupeidae.
CUUUUCCUUUGGAUAGACUUAUUAUGAGUAACCAGCUAGCCAUGGCUACUAUGAAGUCGCCAGGAAAUCUGGAGGAAUGAGGUCGAACGCUGGCAUCCCAUGAGGACUCACUGUCCAUCUGGUUUAUGACAAAAGCAGACUGCCUCAUUCGUCAUCCAGCGCACACUGGAUUCAUGUUCGCUACAUGACAUCGCCUGGGCAAUGGAACCUUCCAGAAGAUGACAAGGAAGAGAGACGUAAAACAUCUCAGCACUACACCUGAAAGAAGAAGUCUGCUGCUUGCCAUGACUCCAGGUACACAAGGUCUGAUGGUCGUGAUCACACCUGGCUUUUGUAUACUGAUGUGUCUGGCCUUCACUGCCACGGUAAGCCCUUUCACAUUGGAUCCCCAAUCCACACUGAUGUGUAGUGGUGUUAACAACCGCAAUCAAA